Molecule: long non-coding RNA, 111 nt
Organism: Gopherus evgoodei (Goodes thornscrub tortoise)
Lineage: Eukaryota; Metazoa; Chordata; Testudines; Testudinidae
Exons: 2
Source: RefSeq, a predicted model, not a curated record
ACCUAGUAAGGAGGGCUUUAAACUAGGUUCGACGGGGACAGGUUUUAUCUGCUGGGCUGUGAUUUCCUUGAGGUCCUUGUGAGUUCCUGGACAGUAAAUGGAUUUACCCUC